GUCGAGAAUUUUUCUCAAUGGGCGAAAGCCUGAAGGAGCGACGCCGCGUGGGGGAUGAAUGGCUUCGGCCCGUAAACCCCUGUCAUUUGCGAUCAAACCUUACGACCUAACACGUCGUAAGCUGAUAGUAGCGGAAGAGGAAGGGACGGCUAACUCUGUGCCAGCAGCCGCGGUAAUACAGAGGUCCCAAGCGUUGUUCGGAUUCACUGGGCGUAAAGGGUGCGUAGGCGGUCGGGUAAGUCUGACGUGAAAUCUUCAAGCUCAACUUGGAAACUGCGUCGGAUACUAUUCGGCUAGAGGAAUGGAGGGGAGACUGGAAUACUUGGUGUAGCAGUGAAAUGCGUAGAUAUCAAGUGGAACACCAGUGGCGAAGGCGAGUCUCUGGACAUUUCCUGACGCUGAGGCACGAAAGCCAGGGGAGCAAACGGGAUUAGAAACCCCGGUAGUCC
Molecule: ribosomal RNA, 449 nt
Filed under: uncultured bacterium
Lineage: Bacteria
Description: bacterial SSU rRNA
Rfam family: Bacterial small subunit ribosomal RNA
Source: RNAcentral